GGAAUAGCUCAGUCGGUAGAGCACUGGUCUCCAAAACCAGGUGUCGGGAGUUCGAGCCUCUCUUCC
This 66-nucleotide transfer RNA is filed under the name Candidatus Amulumruptor caecigallinarius. It matches the Rfam family "tRNA". Rfam says of the family: Transfer RNA (tRNA) molecules are approximately 80 nucleotides in length. Their secondary structure includes four short double-helical elements and three loops (D, anti-codon, and T loops). Further hydrogen bonds mediate the characteristic L-shaped molecular structure. tRNAs have two regions of fundamental functional importance: the anti-codon, which is responsible for specific mRNA codon recognition, and the 3' end, to which the tRNAs corresponding amino acid is attached (by aminoacyl-tRNA synthetases). tRNAs cope with the degeneracy of the genetic code in two manners: having more than one tRNA (with a specific anti-codon) for a particular amino acid; and 'wobble' base-pairing, i.e. permitting non-standard base-pairing at the 3rd anti-codon position. RNAcentral also lists the same sequence under 8 other names. Lineage: Bacteria; Pseudomonadati; Bacteroidota; Bacteroidia; Bacteroidales; Muribaculaceae. The record is from RNAcentral.